UACAGAGGGUGCAAGCGUUAAUCGGAAUUACUGGGCGUAAAGCGUGCGUAGACGGUUAUGUAAGUCGGGUGUGAAAGCCCCGGGCUCAACCUGGGAAUGCCAUUCGAGACUGCAUAGCUAGGGUGCGGAAGAGGGAAGCGGAAUUUCCGGUGUAGCGGUGAAAUGCGUAGAGAUCAGGAGGAACACCGGUGGUGUAGACGGCUUUCUGGACCGUAACUGACGCUGAGACACGAAAGCGUGGGUAGCAAACAGG
Molecule: ribosomal RNA, 253 nt
Filed under: uncultured prokaryote
Description: partial 16S ribosomal RNA
Rfam family: Bacterial small subunit ribosomal RNA
Source: RNAcentral